UCACACGAGUACUGGCCCUGAGGAAU
Molecule: non-coding RNA, 26 nt
Filed under: Mus musculus (house mouse)
Lineage: Eukaryota; Metazoa; Chordata; Mammalia; Rodentia; Muridae
Source: RNAcentral